Molecule: long non-coding RNA, 629 nt
Organism: Fundulus heteroclitus (mummichog)
Lineage: Eukaryota; Metazoa; Chordata; Actinopteri; Cyprinodontiformes; Fundulidae
Exons: 5
Source: RefSeq, a predicted model, not a curated record
CUAUGUUAAGUAAGUUUAUUUUAUUUUAUUCCUAACCUCAUUGAACCGUGUGUUUUACUGAGGUUUUAGUUUUUACAUGAACACAACCAAGUAAUUCAUUUCAGUGGAAUAAACUGAUCGGGAAUCUGGACUUUUGUCUUUGGCGUCUCCCACUGUGUCUUAUUAAUAUUACAUCUAUUACGUAUGCCACUUAUGAGGAAGUUCCCCAAGCCGCGACAUUAACUCGGCCAAACAUAGCUAUCUUCGACUCCAUAAGAUUGAAAACUUCGGCAGAGAACAGAAUGCCUCCUGCCCAUCAAAUUCAGCCUUGGGGAGAAGAUCAUCUGGGCAUCCCAGUACCUUGUCAAACAAACCCAAAUGGUUUAAAUGGAGUUGUGGUCUAUGAUGACAAAACCUAUCCAAUUCCGUAUCUCCGUUAUGAUUCCUUGGAUGAAGUGACAGUAUUCAGGCAGAGUGACAGCGGUCUGAGGACGGACAUACCAGUUGCUGGUUCAACAGGACUUGUGGAUGUCUUUGCUUUUAUGCUAUUGUCAUUUACUUUCUCAUUUCUUAUUUUCAAUUGGGUAGCUGCAAAUUAGCAAUUUUGAUAAAAUUCAAAUUGUAAUGUAAAAAUCUGUAUUAAAUUAUUA